AUACGUAGGGUCCAAGCAUUAUCCGGAUUGACUGGGUGUAAAGAGUUGCGUAGGUGGUGUCUUAAGUAGAUAGUGAAAUCUGGUGGCUCAACCAUUCAGACUAUUAUCUAAACUGAGGCGCUCGAGAGCGUUAGGGGUAGCUGGAAUUUCUAGUGUAGGAGUGAAAUCCGUAGAUAUUAGAAAGAACACCGAUAGCGUAGGCAGGCUACUGGGACGUUUCUGACACUAAGGCACGAAAGCGUAGGGAGCAAACGGGAUUAGAUACCCCGGUAGUCUACGCUGUAAACGAUGGAUACUAGCAGUUUCGGGUAUCGACCCCUGGAGUUGCGAGGCUAACGCGUUAAGUAUCCCACCUGUGUAGUACGAUCGCAAGAUUAAAACUCAAAGGAAUUGACGGGG
RNAcentral lists this ribosomal RNA (399 nucleotides) under uncultured bacterium. RNAcentral's name for it is "partial 16S ribosomal RNA". It matches the Rfam family "Bacterial small subunit ribosomal RNA", at positions 523 to 918 of the family's 1533-position model. The record is from RNAcentral.